GGUACUAGAAUACAAAACAGUAUUUGUUUAGAUCAGGGGUCAGCAACCUGCGGCUCUGGAGCCGCAUGUGGCUCUUUCAUCUCUCUGCUGUGGCUCCCUGUCACUCAACUGCCAAUGUGCGACACCUACCGAGCCUGCUUGUUUUGCACUGUGCUCGCUGGGGGGGACGAAGAGCAGAGCUGUCAGUGCGUGAUACAACGAAGAGUUCUCUUUUCCAGCCAGUUUGUCACAGACCCAAAUGCUGAUUUGACCUGACAAGGAGUGACAGGCCCAAGGUCAGCCAGAUGGCUUCUGUGCCUGAAAGGACAACUAGAAUCUGGGUCUCACCGCUCCAUUCUACUACCCCAUGCUGGCUCUUUAUACUUGAAAGAGGCGAUGCUAACACCAUUCUGGAUAUUGUUAUGUAUUUUGUCAUGUAAACCAUUACAUGGGAUUGGCUGUAGACCUGGCAGACUGUGGUUUCAUCAGUUUCUUUCUCAUUCUGUUCUGGAUUAUUAAAAACCGCAACAAAGCA
Molecule: long non-coding RNA, 514 nt
Organism: Pantherophis guttatus
Lineage: Eukaryota; Metazoa; Chordata; Lepidosauria; Squamata; Colubridae
Source: RefSeq, a predicted model, not a curated record